This 472-nucleotide ribosomal RNA is filed under the name Centipeda artemidis. Its description in RNAcentral is "bacterial SSU rRNA". It matches the Rfam family "Bacterial small subunit ribosomal RNA", at positions 28 to 471 of the family's 1533-position model. Lineage: Bacteria; Bacillati; Bacillota; Negativicutes; Selenomonadales; Selenomonadaceae. The record is from RNAcentral.
GACGAACGCUGGCGGGGUGCUUAACACAUGCAAGUCGAACGGAGCGAAUGAAAGCUUGCUUUUAUGAGCUUAGUGGCAAACGGGUGAGUAACACGUAGACAACCUGCCGAUCAGAUGGGGACAACAUUCCGAAAGGAAUGCUAAUACCGAAUGGCGUGGAGGGAAGGCAUCUUCCUUUCAUGAAAGAUGGCCUCUAUAUAUAAGCUAUCACUGAUCGAUGGGUCUGCGUCUGAUUAGCUAGUAGGUAAGGUAACGGCUUACCUAGGCGACGAUCAGUAGCCGGUCUGAGAGGAUGAACGGCCACAUUGGGACUGAGACACGGCCCAGACUCCUACGGGAGGCAGCAGUGGGGAAUCUUCCGCAAUGGGCGCAAGCCUGACGGAGCAACGCCGCGUGAGUGAAGAAGGUCUUCGGAUCGUAAAGCUCUGUUGAAGGGGACGAACGUACAUAAGUUGAAUAAGCUUAUGUAAUG